CAAGUCGAGCGGUAACAGAGAGUAGCUUGCUACUCUGCUGACGAGCGGCGGACGGGUGAGUAAUGCUUGGGAAUAUGCCUUAUGGUGGGGGACAACAGUUGGAAACGACUGCUAAUACCGCAUGAUGUCUACGGACCAAAGUGGGGGACCUUCGGGCCUCACGCCAUAAGAUUAGCCCAAGUGGGAUUAGCUAGUUGGUGAGGUAAUGGCUCACCAAGGCGACGAUCCCUAGCUGGUUUGAGAGGAUGAUCAGCCACACUGGGACUGAGACACGGCCCAGACUCCUACGGGAGGCAGCAGUGGGGAAUAUUGCACAAUGGGCGCAAGCCUGAUGCAGCCAUGCCGCGUGUGUGAAGAAGGCCUUCGGGUUGUAAAGCACUUUCAGUAAGGAGGAAAGGUUAAGUGUUAAUAGCACUUAGCUGUGACGUUACUUACAGAAGAAGCACCGGCUAACUCCGUGCCAGC
Molecule: ribosomal RNA, 465 nt
Filed under: bacterium 1911-S3-01-1.1.1
Lineage: Bacteria
Description: bacterial SSU rRNA
Rfam family: Bacterial small subunit ribosomal RNA
Source: RNAcentral